GAUGAACGCUGGCGGCGUGCUUAACACAUGCAAGUCGAACGGAAAGGCCCAAGCUUGCUUGGGUACUCGAGUGGCGAACGGGCGGGUAACACGUGGGUGAUCUGCCCUGCACUUCGGGAUAAGCCUGGGAAACUGGGUCUAAUACCGGAUAGGACGAUGGUUUGGAUGCCAUUGUGGAAAGUUUUUUCGGUGUGGGAUGAGCUCGCGGCCUAUCAGCUUGUUGGUGGGGUAAUGGCCUACCAAGGCGUCGACGGGUAGCCGGCCUGAGAGGGUGUACGGCCACAUUGGGACUGAGAUACGGCCCAGACUCCUACGGGAGGCAGCAGUGGGGAAUAUUGCACAAUGGGCGCAAGCCUGAUGCAGCGACGCCGCGUGGGGGAUGACGGCCUUCGGGUUGUAAACUCCUUUCGCUAGGGACGAAGCGUUUUUGUGACGGUACCUGGAGAAGAAGCACCGGCUAACUACGUG
RNAcentral lists this ribosomal RNA (468 nucleotides) under uncultured bacterium. RNAcentral's name for it is "partial 16S ribosomal RNA". It matches the Rfam family "Bacterial small subunit ribosomal RNA", at positions 28 to 507 of the family's 1533-position model. The record is from RNAcentral.